Molecule: ribosomal RNA, 500 nt
Filed under: uncultured bacterium
Lineage: Bacteria
Description: partial 16S ribosomal RNA
Rfam family: Bacterial small subunit ribosomal RNA
Source: RNAcentral
AUUGAACGCUGGCGGCAGGCUUAACACAUGCAAGUCGAGCGGAGCGAGGGUGCUUGCACCUUAGCUUAGCGGCGGACGGGUGAGUAAUGCUUAGGAAUCUGCCUAUUAGUGGGGGACAACAUUCCGAAAGGAAUGCUAAUACCGCAUACGCCCUACGGGGGAAAGCAGGGGAUCUUCGGACCUUGCGCCAAUAGAUGAGCCUAAGUCGGAUUAGCUAGUUGGUGGGGUAAAGGCCUACCAAGGCGACGAUCUGUAGCGGGUCUGAGAGGAUGUACCGCCCCACUGGGACUGAGACGCGCCCAGACUCCUACGGGAGGCAGCAGUGGGGAAUAUUGGACAAUGGGCGGAAGCCUGAUCCAGCCAUGCCGCGUGUGUGAAGAAGGCCUUUUGGUUGUAAAGCACUUUAAGCGAGGAGGAGGCUACUUAGAUUAAUACUCUGGGAUAGUGGACGUUACUCGCAGAAUAAGCACCGGCUAACUCUGUGCCAGCCGCCGCCGUAA